GACGAACGCUGGCGGCGUGCUUAACACAUGCAAGUCGAACGGAAAGGCCCUGCUUUUGUGGGGUGCUCGAGUGGCGAACGGGUGAGUAACACGUGAGUAACCUGCCCUUGACUUUGGGAUAACUUCAGGAAACUGGGGCUAAUACCGGAUAGGAGCUCCUGCUGCAUGGUGGGGGUUGGAAAGUUUCGGCGGUUGGGGAUGGACUCGCGGCUUAUCAGCUUGUUGGUGGGGUAGUGGCUUACCAAGGCUUUGACGGGUAGCCGGCCUGGGAGGGUGACCGGCCACAUUGGGAUUGAGAUACGGCCCAGACUCCUACGGGAGGCAGCAGUGGGGAAUAUUGCACAAUGGGCGGAAGCCUGAUGCAGCAACGCCGCGUGCGGGAUGACGGCCUUCGGGUUGUAAACCGCUUUCGCCUGUGACGAAGCGUGAGUGACGGUAAUGGGUAAAGAAGCACCGGCUAACUACGUG
RNAcentral lists this ribosomal RNA (468 nucleotides) under uncultured bacterium. Its description in RNAcentral is "partial 16S ribosomal RNA". It matches the Rfam family "Bacterial small subunit ribosomal RNA", at positions 28 to 507 of the family's 1533-position model. The record is from RNAcentral.